AGCAUUGUGUUUGUUAUUGUUUAAUUUGUGGACAAAGACUUAUAGACGGGUGUGAAAAAUAAAUCCUCUUUUGCAGCCAGAACUCAUUGUUCAGUAUGAGUUUUGAUAUACAUAAAAAGGAACAUA
This is a small nucleolar RNA of Diceros bicornis minor, 126 nucleotides long. RefSeq annotates it as small nucleolar RNA SNORA40. The record is from RefSeq and is a predicted model, not a curated record. The transcript has a single exon. Lineage: Eukaryota; Metazoa; Chordata; Mammalia; Perissodactyla; Rhinocerotidae.